CGCGGGGUGGAGCAGAGGUAGCUCGUCGGGCUCAUAACCCGAAGGUCAAAGGUUCGAAUCCUUUCCCCGCCACCA
Molecule: transfer RNA, 75 nt
Filed under: bacterium
Lineage: Bacteria
Description: tRNA-Met
Rfam family: tRNA
About the family: Transfer RNA (tRNA) molecules are approximately 80 nucleotides in length.
Source: RNAcentral